Molecule: long non-coding RNA, 1012 nt
Filed under: Marmota monax (woodchuck)
Lineage: Eukaryota; Metazoa; Chordata; Mammalia; Rodentia; Sciuridae
Source: RNAcentral
GUUGUGUCCGAUGAAAACUAAAAACAAUAAAUAUUAAAAAUUCUCUCUCUCUUUAAAAAAAAAGAAAUAUGUUAAUUCUAGGAAAUUGAGAAUAUAGAAUUAAAAAAAAAACAAUUCUGUAAGCUUAAUGGUUCUUUGCCUACUCGUUUAAAGAAACAAUGGCAUAUGCCCUAUAAAGGGCCUUUUGAUGUUCACUGAGGAACAGUUCAGGGAUCAGGGUAAGUGCCAAUUCAUCUUGAUCACAGGGGCUCUGGCCUACCCAAAGAGGAGGUCAAAUCUUUCUUUCCCCACUACUUGCCUCCUACUAGGAGCUGAGGGGCUGGCUCAGGUGAGGCCUCAGCCCUCCUGCUGUUAGUACCUUGUCUUUUCCAGAACUGGACCUGGAUCCUGAAAAUACAGUCAGAUCCCCAGGUCUGCUCUGAGAUCUGAGGUCUGUAGCAGCUGUAACCUUAUCCUACUGGUUGAGAUGGAUGUGGGGAGGGGGUAGGUACCUUAAUUUCUGUCUGCCCAAGUAUCCAGCCAUUUCCUGCUCGUUUUCUUCCUGAAGUAUCAGAAGAACCAGGCUUUCUCUGACUAGGAAAGUUUGUUAGCAAACUCCCAUUGGAGCAAAUGAUGACUGUCAGUAUAUGUAACUGAGAAGGAUCCCCAGGACCUGCUCCCUGAGCCCAGUAGAUCUGCUUCACAGACCUCCUAUGUUCCCCUAGGAGAAGAAGCACCCAAAAAUUUAUUGAAGGAACUUGUAAAGAAUGUUCGUAUGACAUACAGAAAAGUAUACAAAUCCUCCAUGUACAGCCAGACGAAUGAUCCCAAAGGGAACACUCUGCUGGAAUUGCUGCCUAUAUCAAGAAAUGGAACAAUCAAGCAGCUGGCGACUUCUAAAGAGAUGCUCCUUGUCACGGCACCUGGCUACAUUCAAAACUAGUUUUCUGAGACAAGGUUUUAAAUGACUGAAUUGUCUGGAAAAGUCAUACUUGAAUGAACAAGUUGUCUGUUGAUUUCUUUGUACCGUCUU